Molecule: long non-coding RNA, 1091 nt
Filed under: Capra hircus (goat)
Lineage: Eukaryota; Metazoa; Chordata; Mammalia; Artiodactyla; Bovidae
Description: lncRNA (ENSCHIG00000001925.1)
Source: RNAcentral
AUGGACAAGCGGCAUUCUCUGCUUUACCAGGACGCGGGCAUCAAUAUUUCAUCCUUGCUUCGCCUGCCAGCGUCCGCUCCCUCCUCCCUACUUCUCACCGGCUCUAGGACCCGGAGAGCUGGGCCAUGCUGGCCUGACCCAGGGCGUCAUCACAGAUGUCUACGCUGCCUUCAGCUUGCCUGCCGUGCCAUCGUGGACUCCAGAGUCUGCACAAGAAGCCCUUCUGAGCCUAGGCAGGUGGAUGAAGGAAGCAGCACGGCUGUUCAGGAGCACACAUCCCUCUGGCCAGCCCCCAGCCCGUCUCAUCUUGUCCACUUGAGGUCACAGAGGAAUGCGCUGCGCUCUGCCCGGGGGUUCCUGGCAGAGUGUGGAGCCGGGAUGGAAGCAGUCACUCUCAGGAGGCCUUUGGGCAGACUGUGGUCCUUUCUCAGGCCGGUGGCCAGCUCUGCAUUUCUGGGUUGGGACUGGGGUUGAGGACGCCUGCUGAGACCUAUGCCCUGGGAAAACGUCAGCCUGUGUUGAGAAACUGAUCUUCAGUCACGCAUUUAUUCCAUGUAUGUAUGGAGAACCUACUGUGUGCCAGCCUAUCCACGGUGUUGUGGGAACGGUAAUGGGCAAGUUGGGCGGACAUGUUCGUGUUCUAGUGCUGAGCAUUCACCUUCUGGGUCCCUGGGGGGAUUGUCACUGAUUUCCUUUCUGCCCCCAAGCCCAGAGCUAAGUUUGUGAAUUUUCUGAGUACUAAAACUGCCCCCUUGAUCUCUCUUCGUUAUUCUACUUUUCUUCUCCCUGAAUCUUGUUUCUGGAUCUUUUCAGAUUCAGAAAAGGGACACUCAUCCCAGGUCUGCGUGGCGUCUGGUGGACUGGCCCGGGACACCGGGCAGUGGCUGGCCGGCGCUUCCUCCUGGUCCCUCUUCUGCACCCUGGCUCUCUGGCUCUGGCACCUUCACCUCUAGCUCGGUGACUUUGCUGCCUGCUUCCUUCAGUCCCUUCUGGACCUGCCUUCUCACUGGCAUGGCUGAAGAUGGGGCCCCACUACUCUUUCGCUUUGAUGAAAUAAAUCAUUUAUAUGUUAAAUCUUACUGUACACAUUC